Molecule: ribosomal RNA, 460 nt
Filed under: uncultured bacterium
Lineage: Bacteria
Description: partial 16S ribosomal RNA
Rfam family: Bacterial small subunit ribosomal RNA
Source: RNAcentral
CCUACGGGAGACUGCAGUGAGGAAUAUUGGUCAAUGGACGAGAGUCUGAACCAGCCAAGUAGCGUGAAGGAUGACUGCCCUAUGGGUUGUAAACUUCUUUUAUAUGGGAAUAAAAUGUUCCACGUGUGGGAUUUUGUAUGUACCAUAUGAAUAAGGAUCGGCUAACUCCGUGCCAGCAGCCGCGGUAAUACGGAGGAUCCGAGCGUUAUCCGGAUUUAUUGGGUUUAAAGGGAGCGUAGGUGGAUUGUUAAGUCAGUUGUGAAAGUUUGCGGCUCAACCGUAAAAUUGCAGUUGAAACUGGCAGUCUUGAGUACAGUAGAGGUGGGCGGAAUUCGUGGUGUAGCGGUGAAAUGCUUAGAUAUCACGAAGAACUCCGAUUGCGAAAGCAGUUCACUGGACUGCAACUGACACUGAGGCUCGAAAGUGUGGGUAUCAAACAGGAUUAGAUACCCGAGUAGUC